GGAGCAUUCAGUACGUUUGCACUGAUACGGUUUGGCUCUGUGUCCCCGCCCAAAUCUCAGGUGGAAUUGUAAUCCCCAGAGUUGGGGGUGAGGCCUGGUGGGGGGCGAUUUUAGUGCCGUCCCUGGGUGCUGUCCUCCCCACCCGGCCUGAGUUCUCUCUAGCUCUGGGUGUUUAAGGAUGCAGCAGCUCCCGCUCACUCUUUUGCUGCUCCUGUCAGGUUAGACCAGCCUGCUUCCCCUCGCCUUCCGCCACGAUUGAGAGUCUCCUGAGGCCUCCCCAGAAGCCAAGCAGACACCAGCAUCAGGCUUCCCCUGCAGCCUGAAGAACCGUGAGCCAAUUCAGCCUCUUUUCUGUAUCAAGUACACAGUCUCAGACACAUUGGUCCCACCCUCCUGUCUAAAUCUUGGCUAUCAGCUCAUCCUGCUGCCUCUCCCUCCCCAUUCCUGGCUUCUCUCAACAGGAAGAGGAGCAGGGGCCUCUGCGUCAAAGGCCGGCUUUGGCAGGACGGGCUGGCCAAGAGCAACCGAUUGUCGAGAUAAGAGGCCGAUAGCUGUCGGGCACGGAGCUGGUGGGCGCCAGGCUGGCGGGGCGUGGGGCAAGCCUCCGGGAAGCGACUGAUGAGAGAGCAGCGGGAGGACCAGAGGUGAUGACGAAGGCAGGGCGGGAGUGGGACGGGGGCCGCACAACAGAGACCCUAACCUGAGCCCGCUGACCCAGCCGUCUGACCCCUGUCCAGGGACAGGUGGGUGCGGGGUGUGAGCAGAGAGGACGGAGGCAGGUGUGGCUGUGGGCAGGGUGGCUUCUCUAAGGUCCCCCGUGGUAGUGGGGGAUCUUUUUGUAGGACGGAGUCAUGGGCAGCCUGGGCCAGCCAGGGAGGCCCUGCCAGUGGGGAAGGAGGUGGCUGCUCCUACGGCUGGGCCAGAGGUGUCCCUGAUGUCCGUGGAUGGUCCUGGCAACCAAGAAAGCGGCUGCUCUUCCUCCUCCACACAGCCACCUUGGUGAGGGAGACGGGG
RNAcentral lists this long non-coding RNA (1014 nucleotides) under Homo sapiens (human). Its description in RNAcentral is "HSALNT0170992". The record is from RNAcentral. Lineage: Eukaryota; Metazoa; Chordata; Mammalia; Primates; Hominidae.